UCCGGAGUCGUCUAAUGGCAGGACGUCAAGUUUUGGUCUUGAAAAUUGGGGUUCGAAUCCCUGCUCCGGAG
This 71-nucleotide transfer RNA is filed under the name Minisyncoccota bacterium. RNAcentral describes it as "tRNA-Gln". It matches the Rfam family "tRNA". Rfam says of the family: Transfer RNA (tRNA) molecules are approximately 80 nucleotides in length. The record is from RNAcentral. Lineage: Bacteria; Bacillati; Minisyncoccota.